GAUGAACGCUGGCGGCGUGCCUAAUACAUGCAAGUCGAGCGAACGGACGAGAAGCUUGCCUCUCUGAUGUUAGCGGCGGACGGGUGAGUAACACGUGGAUAACCUACCUAUAAGACUGGGAUAACUUCGGGAAACCGGAGCUAAUACCGGAUAAUAUUUUGAACCGCAUGGUUCAAAAGUGAAAGACGGUCUUGCUGUCACUUAUAGAUGGAUCCGCGCUGCAUUAGCUAGUUGGUAAGGUAACGGCUUACCAAGGCAACGAUGCAUAGCCGACCUGAGAGGGUGAUCGGCCACACUGGAACUGAGACACGGUCCAGACUCCUACGGGAGGCAGCAGUAGGGAAUCUUCCGCAAUGGGCGAAAGCCUGACGGAGCAACGCCGCGUGAGUGAUGAAGGUCUUCGGAUCGUAAAACUCUGUUAUUAGGGAAGAACAUAUGUGUAAGUAACUGUGCACAUCUUGACGGUACCUAAUCAGAAAGCCACGGCUAACUACGUG
RNAcentral lists this ribosomal RNA (497 nucleotides) under uncultured bacterium. RNAcentral's name for it is "partial 16S ribosomal RNA". It matches the Rfam family "Bacterial small subunit ribosomal RNA", at positions 28 to 507 of the family's 1533-position model. The record is from RNAcentral.